AGGACGAACGCUGGCGGCGUGCUUAACACAUGCAAGUCGAGCGGUAAGGCCUUUCGGGGUACACGAGCGGCGAACGGGUGAGUAACACGUGGGUGAUCUGCCCUGCACUUCGGGAUAAGCCUGGGAAACUGGGUCUAAUACCGGAUAUGACCUCCUAUCGCAUGGUGGGUGGUGGAAAGAUUUAUCGGUGCAGGAUGGGCCCGCGGCCUAUCAGCUUGUUGGUGGGUAAUGGCCUACCAAGGCGACGACGGGUAGCCGACCUGAGAGGGUGACCGGCCACACUGGGACUGAGACACGGCCCAGACUCCUACGGGAGGCAGCAGUGGGAAUAUUGCACAAUGGGACGAAAGCCUGAUGCAGCGACGCCGCGUGAGGAUGACGGCCUUCGGGUUGUAAACCUCUUUCAGCGAGGACGAAGCGCAAGUGACGGUACCUG
This 436-nucleotide ribosomal RNA is filed under the name uncultured soil bacterium. RNAcentral's name for it is "bacterial SSU rRNA". It matches the Rfam family "Bacterial small subunit ribosomal RNA", at positions 26 to 481 of the family's 1533-position model. The record is from RNAcentral.